GUGUUUGGUGAUUCUUUAGUUGGCUUCUUGUGGCUCGGUGGAUGGUGGGCAAGCCAGAUUUAGGGUGAAGGCGAAGGGAUAACUAUCAUGUUACUAAUAUUUCUACAAAUUGGCGGUUUCAGAGGAAAUGACCCAAAGACUGAAGAGAGGCCCUGGAAAAUGGGCUAAUCCCUUUAAGAGCCAAAAUACGAUUGUAAGCCUGGACAGAAAGCUUCCUUGCUUGGGCACUGUGGGAACCCUGCUCUGACUAUUGCCUCCUAUGCUCUUAUAAUCUGGCAAGUGAAGUGUCUGCUGUUCUCAGCAAAUCUUAAUGAGAUGGUGGUGAUGGAAAGUGGUAUUUGUCUUUCAGAUGGAGAGGUCUCUCCUCCACCCAUCACCAGGAGCCGGCAGGGCAUUCCUAGAUCACUAGGCCCCUGGUCAACCACCACUAAUCUGAAAGCCUCAACUUCAUGCCUGGCAUUGGGACUGGUGACUCCGAUGGCCAGCUGGGCUGCUUUUUCCACAAUGGCUUCGUGGUUCUUGGAGGAGACAUUCUGAGCAAUCUCUGCACAGUAAGAUUUGUUGCACAUCAGCAGCACUUCAAGCUCCUUGACGUUGUAGACAAGGAACUUCCGGAAGACACUGAGCACUAUGUGCUUUGUUUUCUUGUUGCUCCCAUAACCAGUGUUGGGUGUCAAGAUCUGGCCCUUGAAUCUUCUGUGCACCCUAUUGUCAAUGCUUCUGGGUUUCCAUCAGUUGCACUGAAUUUUGACAUAUUGGUUGGAGUGGUGCCGGAUGAACUUCUUGGUCCUCUUUUAACAAUCUUGAACUUCACCAGAGGUCUGAGGGUGGCCAUGAUGCUGAGUAGGAGACAGCUGCCACCUCUGCAGGCGGCAUGGAAGAAGAGAGAAUAUUUGCAACUUCUUACUUGAAGCAGAAGUAUGGUUUACAAUGGUCUCCUGGUUUAAUUUGAUUGCUGUGUUUAAACUGAUUUUCUUUUUUAUGAAUGGAAUCCUUACUUAAAGAUUUUAAGAUAGUUCAUGAGUUGACAACUAUACAAUAAAUAUUUUUGGGGGAGGAUGAGCAUUAAGAAGUAUUUUACAAUGUAAGUAAUCACUCACUAAUUAAUCUCUAAACUUGGAUUUCUAAUUAUCUGAUUUUCCUAGUCACAUGGACACUAACAGUUUACUUUUGCAAAUGGGCAGAAUGAUGAAAAUGAUCGAUAGUGGGAAAGAUUUUAAAAGAAAGAAGAAACUAAUUCAAAACUACAGACCACUGGAGAUCAUUUAAUGAAUUUAACUUGGUCUAUUAAGUAGGAGCUCAAUGGGCUUAAAAAGAUAGUCAACUUUCAAAGUGUCUCAGGCAUUAAGAGAAUCUGGUUUAGCUUUGAGAAAUCUAGAAGCAACAACAGAAAUAACCAAUCUAUAUGAUAGGACUAGUUGCUGGUUAUAUUUCUUUGCGCUUUAAGCAGGAAAAGUAAACAUUUCACGGAACAUAUCCAGUUGGCUAGAAUAGCUGCCCUAAUCAACUAAAGAUUUUUUGGCCACCAUAAACCCCAAUUAGCCUUGUCUUUUAUGCUCCUCAUUAUAUUGUAUAAAUAAUAAAAUUGUUGAAUUAAAGAGAAACUAGAGGUUAUCCAGUUUAGUCUUUAAAAUUUACCUAUGAGGAAACUAAUACUCAAGGAAGCUAAAUGAUUUACUUAAGUUUUACCACCCAAGGACUGUUGAAGAAGCAGACAGACGAUGUUCCUGCUCUCAUGAAGAUCACAUUUUAGUCAAAAGGGGAUACAGAAGAAGCAAAGCACACGUACUUGAAGAACAAAGUAGAUGGUGAGAGAGAGGAGUGCACACAAGCAGGAGGAGCAGCAGAGGGAGAGAGAGCAGCAGGCUCUCUGCUGAGCGCAGAGCCCAAUGCGGGACUCGAUCCCAGGACCCUGAGAUCAUGACCUGAGCUGAAGACAGAUGCUUAACCGACUGAGCCACCCAGGCGCCCCAAAAGUGACUUUCUUUUCCUCUGUGUCUAUGAAAUGAUCACAGAAUUGGAUGAGGAGAGUGGCUUAUUAUAGUGGCUUGAAUCAGCUUUUUGUUUGCCACAUCAUUAAUAUCUAGUGGAUUUUUAUUGUAUUCAGCCGCAGUCAGGUCAGAUGAUAGUUUCCAGAUUGCCCCCGUUUCCUUAAGCAUCUGUCACCUGUAAACAUACCUGAUAGAGAUAUCUGUGUCAUUUACAUUCUGUGAUAGGCAGAACAAUGCCUCCAAAGAUGUCCACAUUUAAUCCCUGGAACUUGUGAAUGUUACAUGGCAAAGAAAAAUUAAUGCAGAUGGAAUGAAUGUUGCUAAUCAGCUGACCUUAAAAUAGGGAGAGCCUGGAUUCUCCCUGUGGACCCAAUAUAAUUACAAGGUUUCUUAGAAGUGGGAGAGGAAGGUAGAAGGGAGGGAGUAUCAGAGGAAGAUGGGACAAGGGAAGAAUAGUCAGAGAGCUGCAAUGUUACUGGCUUUGAAGAUGGAAGAAAGAAGCCUCUAAAAGCUGAGAAAGGCAAGGCAAUGCAUUAUUCUCUAGAGACUCCAGAAAGGAAUGCAACCCUGCUGAUACCCUGAUUUUAGGGCUUUUGACUUCCAGAAGCAUAAUAGAAUUUUGUAUUCUUUUUGUUUUUAAAGGUUUAUUUUAUUUAUUAUUUUAGAGAGAGAGAGAGCAUGAGCAGGGGGAGGGGCAGAGGGAGAGAAAGAAUCCUCAAGUAGACUCCCUGCUGAGUGGGGAGCCCAACACAGGUGAUCCCAGGACCUGAGAUCAUGACCAGAGCCAAAAUCAAGGGUUGGCUGCUCAACCGACUGAGCCACCCAGGCACCCCAGAAUUGUGUGUUGUCUUAAGCCACAACGUUUGUGGUAACUUAUUACAGCAGCAAUAGAAAACUAAAGCAGAUUCCUAGUUUUAAGCACAAGAAACUAAAGGACUAUUUUAAGUAGUAGAAACUUACCAGAAGAGAUUUAUCAAGUAGCUCGCAGAACCUUCAGGAGGGCUGGAGGGCAAGCCCCAGAGGCUCCCUGUCAGAAGCCCUAACACAGUCUUCCUGCAGACAUGCUUCGCCGACCUGGGGCAGCGCCCUGGGGGGUAUUGUAUCGUUGACAGCAACGCUGGACACCGAGCCUCAACCGCUGUUGCUAGAACUGCAGCCUCUCUGGAAAUGGGAUGUAGAUGCUGCCAUGUAUCCUCCUCUCUAGAAAUAGAUUUGUGCAGUCUCCACUUCUUUAGGUCAUUAACUUCUAAUCAAAACCUGGAGUCUGUAUGUCUGAUUGCUCUGGCUUGGCUGUUAUGUGGGCACCUUAGCUGCAAGGGAGGCUGGAAAAGUGAAUAUCUGGUACAUUUGGCUUCUCUGAUCUGCUGCCAAGGUGGUGGAUUCCUCAUAUAAGAAGGUGAUUCAUAUGCUGGUUACUAAAACGAAUGAAUACCAUCCACCAGAGCACCUACAAUCCCAGAAGAGGAGAGAUCGUCUCUGUCUCCCAGAGUCUAUCUCAAUCUCUGAGAAGGAUUUUGACUGGCCUGGCGUGGGUCUUUUGCUGUCUCCUGUAACCAAUUAUUCUUUAAGGUAUUUAUGACAACUGUCACAACAGAAGAAAUGGCUUUAUUUAGGAAGAUUUCAUCAUACCCAAUAAACUCAGACUGUCCCUACAAAUUUAUCCAUCUCCAAUCAGAUGACCCACUCAAAGGCAAAUAUAACAGGUGGGAUUGUUUUUCUUUUCUAUUUACGGUUGUCCAUACAUUGAAGAUUGAACCUGUAGUGAUCCUCCAAGCCAUCUUCUCUCCUUUGAGGAUAAUGCUGUGGCCAAAUACUGUGGAUGCUGGACUUUGAAAUGGACAAGCACUCACUAUGCGCCCAUGCUGUGUAGAAGAUACAACAUCACGGUCCUGUCCUAUUGAAAGUUCAGUCUAUAUCCAGCUGAGAUCAGGGCUCUGUAACCUUGAUUUUAAGAUGGAUUAAAAAUGAAGUGUGAACAAUAGCCAAACUGUGGAAAGAGCCAAGAUGUCCAUCAACAGAUGACUGGAUAAAGAAGAGGUGGUAUAUAUAUACAAUGGAAUAUUAUGCAGCCAUCAAAAGGAAUGAGAUCUUGCCAUUUGCAACGACGUGGAUGGAACUGGAGGGUCUUAUGUUGAGUGAAAUAAGUCAAACAGAGAAAGACAUGUAUCAUAUGAUCUCACUGAUAUGAGGAAUUCUUAAUCGCAGGAAACAAACUGAGGGUUGUUGGAGUGGGGGGGGGUGGGAGGGAUGGGGUGACUGGGUGAUAGACACUGGGGAGGGUAUGUGCUCUGGUAAGUGCUGUGAAUUGUGCAAGACUGUUGAAUCUCAGAUCUGAAACAA
Molecule: long non-coding RNA, 4331 nt
Organism: Mirounga angustirostris (Northern elephant seal)
Lineage: Eukaryota; Metazoa; Chordata; Mammalia; Carnivora; Phocidae
Exons: 4
Source: RefSeq, a predicted model, not a curated record